AUCAUCUGGAGAUCUUGUUAAGAUGUAGAUUCUGAUUCAGGAAGUCUGAGUGGUACCUGAGAGUCUGCAUUUCUAACAAGCUUCCAGGUGAUACCAG
This 97-nucleotide microRNA precursor is filed under the name Loxodonta africana (African savanna elephant). RNAcentral's name for it is "mir-544 microRNA precursor family". It matches the Rfam family "mir-544 microRNA precursor family". Lineage: Eukaryota; Metazoa; Chordata; Mammalia; Proboscidea; Elephantidae. The record is from Rfam by way of RNAcentral.